RNAcentral lists this ribosomal RNA (496 nucleotides) under uncultured bacterium. RNAcentral describes it as "partial 16S ribosomal RNA". It matches the Rfam family "Bacterial small subunit ribosomal RNA", at positions 29 to 507 of the family's 1533-position model. The record is from RNAcentral.
AUGAACGCUGGCGGCGUGCCUAAUACAUGCAAGUCGAGCGAACGGACGAGAAGCUUGCUUCUCUGAUGUUAGCGGCGGACGGGUGAGUAACACGUGGAUAACCUACCUAUAAGACUGGGAUAACUUCGGGAAACCGGAGCUAAUACCGGAUAAUAUUUUGAACCGCAUGGUUCAAAAGUGAAAGACGGCCUUGCUGUCACUUAUAGAUGGAUCCGCGCUGCAUUAGCUAGUUGGUAAGGUAACGGCUUACCAAGGCAACGAUGCAUAGCCGACCUGAGAGGGUGAUCGGCCACACUGGAACUGAGACACGGUCCAGACUCCUACGGGAGGCAGCAGUAGGGAAUCUUCCGCAAAGGGCGAAAGCCUGACGGAGCAACGCCGCGUGAGUGAUGAAGGUCUUCGGAUCGUAAAACUCUGUUAUUAGGGAAGAACAUAUGUGUAAGUAACUGUGCACAUCUUGACGGUACCUAAUCAGAAAGCCACGGCUAACUACGUG